UAAAAACUACAGAUUCCCCACCACCAACAGGUAAAAACUACAGAUCUCCCAACACCAACAGGUAAAAACUACAAGUCCCCCACCAACAACAGGUGAGAACUACACCAACAGGUAAAAACUACAGAUUCCUCACCACCAACAAGUAAAAACUACAGAUCUUCCACCACCAACAGGUAAAAACUACAGAUCCCCCACCACCAACA
This is a long non-coding RNA of Larimichthys crocea (large yellow croaker), 203 nucleotides long. RefSeq lists it as uncharacterized. The record is from RefSeq and is a predicted model, not a curated record. The transcript is spliced from 2 exons. NCBI's taxonomy places the organism in Eukaryota, Metazoa, Chordata, Actinopteri, Sciaenidae.